AAUCUGGAAGCAAAAAAAGCAAUCUGAACUGAAUGCGUUCAAUUGGGCAAAACUGAACGUUCUGAUUCUGAAAAAAAAAGAAUUUCUCUUCUGGUUUUUAAAACAGAAUCAGAAGCAGAAUCACUCACACAUUCAUAGAUUUAAAUGUCAGCAGUACAAAAUGUUUGCAGCACAAAUACAAAUGAAAUUUGGCGCGAAUACACAUAUAAGUGAAACAUGUUAAACACAAACAAUACAUUCACACCAAACUUCAGAUUCUUCGGAAUAAAAAAAAAACUGUUCAAUUGGGAUUCCAAAUCGAAGAACAAUUCCGGAUUGCCAAUUAAAAACGCCAUAAUUGUGUCUAGGUUUAAAAAAAUAUUAAGGGAGAAGUUUUAAAUACAUAUUUAAAAAAAUCUUGCCUGAAAAUUGAAUGAAAAUUAACCGACGCAAAUUUAUUGAGGUGUAGGCGUACGCUUUACAGGGUUGUGUAUUCGAUAUAGACGAAAAAUCCGUAAAAAGGACUUUUUGCUCGUUAUUGGAACAUUUUCAAUAAUCUACGGCAACCACUUUGCCCUCAUAAAUGGCUAUGACUCUUUUGGAAAUAUUUGCGGUGUUUGAUAUAAUAAACUAUAUAACAACAUUUCACUUUCCGGAAUGGACACAUCAACAAAACCAUUUGUCCUAUUUUUCGGACCGGAUAAUAUAUCAACGGUUAUGAAAAUUUGCAUUGAAGAAUGCCCCAAGAACUUGGUAGUCGACGAACUUGGUUAUCUUGAUUAUUGGAAACUAAAAAACUUAAAGUUUUGCCGCUACGAUUUUGAUAUGACGAAGCUGCUUUAUUUUCAUUAUUACAUAAACUACAAAUCAAGUAUUGGACCGUGUUCAUUAAGAAAUAUUUAUCCAAGUAUAUGUAUCUAUAAAACAUCGAUGUGUUCCAUUAGAUGUCAUCAAUAGCGUAGUAGAAACCUAUGGACUACUUAAUAGCAUGUUUGAUAAUGUUGUCCUGAUUUUUGUUAA
Episyrphus balteatus (marmalade hoverfly) is the source of this 999-nucleotide long non-coding RNA. RefSeq lists it as uncharacterized. The record is from RefSeq and is a predicted model, not a curated record. NCBI's taxonomy places the organism in Eukaryota, Metazoa, Arthropoda, Insecta, Diptera, Syrphidae. The transcript is spliced from 3 exons.